This is a non-coding RNA of Gasterosteus aculeatus aculeatus (three-spined stickleback), 2315 nucleotides long. NCBI's taxonomy places the organism in Eukaryota, Metazoa, Chordata, Actinopteri, Perciformes, Gasterosteidae. The record is from RefSeq and is a predicted model, not a curated record.
AAUGGGAGCGGAACAUAAGGUCUUAUUGCUCCACACAGAGGUCCGGUGGCUGUCGCGCGGCAAAGUGCUGGCCCGUGUGUAUGAGCUGCGAGAGGAAGUAUUUCGAGAGGUCCGAUUACUCAAAGCUGCUUGCAAGUGAUGAGUGGUGUGCAAAGCUGGCUGAUAUAUUUCAUCAUCUGCAUGAACUGAACACACGGAUGCAAGGCCGAAAGGAAAACCUGCUUACAAGCACUGAUAAAAUGAACGGAUUCCGUUUAAAGGUGCAGCUCUGGCAACAACAGGUGCAGCAUGGCAACCUUGAGAUGUUCCCGCUCACCGAGAAACGUCAUGACGACAACACUGCUGUAAUGUGCGAGGUGAUUGGCACACAUUUGAAAACUCUCGAGGAGAAGUUGUCAUUUUAUUUCUCUUCAGCCACAGAAUGCCUUGACUGGAUUAGGGACCCGUACAGCUCAGCAUCCGUUGCUGGAAAGGACAUGACUUUAAAGGAGCAAGAGGAACUCAUUGAACUGAAACAAGAUCGUGGUUUAAAGCUAAACUUUGCUGAUCUUCCUUUGGACAGUUUUUGGUUAUCUGUUGCCAAGGAGUUCCCCAUUCUGGCCAACAAAGCUAUUUUGACAUUGCUCCCGUUUUCAACCACAUAUCUAUGUGAGCUGAGCUUCUCAAGCUUGACCGCGAUAAAAAGGAAAAACAGAGCUGUUGAGGAAGAGCUUCGUGUGUGUCUUUCUACCAUUCCUGCCAGGAUAUCCAUGUUGUGUUCAUCGAAACAGGCCCAGGUUUCACACUAAAGAUCAGCCAGGAGCUCAGGAGCCAAGCGGAGAGCCUCCUCUGCCCCCCAUCUCCUCUGACCCCCCUCAGCAGCUGUGCAGAUGUGGCGGGGCUGUUUACAGUGGAGGGGGAGGUCGUCGAAGGGGAAACAGUGAUUGCACUGAGCCUUUGGAGGGAAGCUGCAGUCCGUGAUUGUGAGGUCUCAACCCCAGCGGGGCGGCAGGAGGCCGCAAGGGGGCGGCGAAGAACGCGUCCUCCGAAGCCAAUCACCAGAAUUCGGAACACCUGCGAGGGAGGAGACCUAUAAGAGCGAAGUGUGAGGUAUUGCAAGUACGCUUCUCAGCUGAACCCGUUGUUUCGCUGCCCCUGAAUUCCUGUAGAACCAGUGAGCUUCCGUGUAUCGACCUUCCGCCUUCUCUCGACUACGAACCUGCCUACUCCGUGGAUCAGAUCUGUCUCCGAACCACUGCCUGUCCCCGGAUUCCCCGUACUGCCUUAUCCCUUGAGACUACAAGUCCCAAAUAAACAUUGAGAGCUCUGCUCCUGGGUCUGGGUCUGUCUCCUGAGUCCAUUCGCUACAGAAAUGUGCUCCAAGUGGGGGGACACACCAGAGUGUCCCAUCUUAGAACCAACACGGGACGCAGGCGCAGUCCACCAAUAUUUCCACCAUUGAGGUAGCCCUACUCGGGUGUUACCGUAUUUAUCAUUAAAAGGUGUGUAUAUAAAUAGAACACAUUUAUUUCAUUAAGCUAUUUUGUUCACAUCUUAAAACUAUACACAGGAAGUCUCCUGAAGUGUUCAUUGUAAACGAAUAAAAGUAAAAAAUGUGAAAUGAAUAAGCAGUUGCUCUGGGUUAUCAUGUUCUGGUAAUUGGUGACAGAGCUAUACGUCAAUGUUUCCCUGGACAGAAGGUGAUAUCAGAGGAGGAGGUGGUUGAAGUGGAGGGCUCUCCAGACACCCUGUACCUCCUGAUGGAGGACGACCGCACCACCAACAUCAGCGCAGCGGGGGCCCAUUGACCCCCAAAUGAAAAGUCCACCCCUGAUGGGAAAAAUAAAAAUCGUUGGCAAUCAUGUUUCCAAAAUUGAAUUGUAAUCAAGAUUAAUUUGUUUGUUUCAUAUGUUCUUUGUUACUGAACGUUCUGUAAUGCAUUUGAGUUUUUUUACUGUGUUAAUUUUGUUGUUGGAUUGAUCAGUUUGUAUGAAUAGUUUUAAUGCUCAUUCAUCACUAAUAUUUGUAUUAUAAUGUAUAUAUGUAAUUUUAAAAUAUUUAAGUAUUGUUCUUCGAGUCUUUAUUCUUCUAUUUCUUCCGUGCGGCUUUCAACUGGGCGAGAAUGUAUGUGUUUAGGUUAUUGUUUCUCAGCCAGUGUUUUUAUCUUCAUAAAUGUAAUAAUUAAAAUACCUGACAUAUACUAUAUGUCCUUGUUUGUCACACCUGUAUGUCUAGUUGGGUUUUUGUCCUUUCUCUACGUUUGUUUUCGUGACUUCCUGUUUUUUGGCGAUUAAAAAUCUCCUCUCGUUUCAGGUUCCUUGUCCUUCCUGAUGUGU